GACGAACGCUGGCGGCGUGCCUAAUACAUGCAAGUCGAACGCUCAGGCGAGGAGCUUGCUCUUCUUGCGUGAGUUGCGAACGGGUGAGUAACGCGUAGAUAACCUGCCUUGUAGCGGGGGAUAACUACUGGAAACGGUAGCUAAUACCGCAUAAUAUUGUAUGCCACAUGUUUCUUUUUUGAAAGGCGCUAUUGCUGCACUACAUGAUGGACUUGCGUUGUAUUAGCUUGUAGGUAAGGUAAGGGCUUACCUAGGCGACGAUGCGGAGCCGACCGGAGAGGGGGAUCGGCCACACGGGAACGGAGACAGGGUCAAGACGCCUACGGGAGGAAGCAGUAGGGAAUCUUACGCAAUGGGGGAAAGCCUGACGGAGCAGGGCCGCGUGAGUGAUGAAGGUCUUGGGUUCGGAAAACUGGGUGAUGAGGGAAGAACAAAUGUGGAAGGAAAUAUGCACGGCGUGACGGUACCUAAUCAGAAAGCCACGGCUAACUACGUG
Molecule: ribosomal RNA, 496 nt
Filed under: uncultured bacterium
Lineage: Bacteria
Description: partial 16S ribosomal RNA
Rfam family: Bacterial small subunit ribosomal RNA
Source: RNAcentral